AUGAAGUUUCCUGUUAUGCUGUUGGUGCUGCUGGUGUUCAGGAUUCCUGCUUCCAGAUGUGAUAUUAUGAUGACCGAAAGUCCACUGUCCCUGCAUGUCAGCCUUGGUGAUCAAGUUUCUAUCUCUUGCAAGUCUAGCCAGAGUGUCCUCUAUAGUAAUGGAAAAACUUAUUUGAAAUGGUACCUGCAGAGGCCAGGCCAGUCUCCACAGCUCCUCAUCUAUGAGAUUUCCAACCGAUUUUCUGGGGUCCCAGACAGGUUCAGUGGCAGUGGGUCAGACACAGAUUUCACACUCAAGAUCAGCAGAGUUGAGCCUGAAGAUUUGGGAGUUUAUUUUUGUCUCCAAGCUUCUUAUUUUCCUCACACAGUGUUAUCUGCUUAA
Non-coding RNA from Peromyscus californicus insignis, 381 nucleotides. The record is from the annotation of a RefSeq genome assembly. Lineage: Eukaryota; Metazoa; Chordata; Mammalia; Rodentia; Cricetidae.